RNAcentral lists this ribosomal RNA (536 nucleotides) under Salmonella enterica. RNAcentral describes it as "bacterial SSU rRNA". It matches the Rfam family "Bacterial small subunit ribosomal RNA", at positions 997 to 1533 of the family's 1533-position model. Lineage: Bacteria; Pseudomonadati; Pseudomonadota; Gammaproteobacteria; Enterobacterales; Enterobacteriaceae. The record is from RNAcentral.
UUUCCAGAGAUGGAUUGGUGCCUUCGGGAACCGUGAGACAGGUGCUGCAUGGCUGUCGUCAGCUCGUGUUGUGAAAUGUUGGGUUAAGUCCCGCAACGAGCGCAACCCUUAUCCUUUGUUGCCAGCGAUUCGGUCGGGAACUCAAAGGAGACUGCCAGUGAUAAACUGGAGGAAGGUGGGGAUGACGUCAAGUCAUCAUGGCCCUUACGACCAGGGCUACACACGUGCUACAAUGGCGCAUACAAAGAGAAGCGACCUCGCGAGAGCAAGCGGAUCUCAUAAAGUGCGUCGUAGUCCGGAUUGGAGUCUGCAACUCGACUCCAUGAAGUCGGAAUCGCUAGUAAUCGUGGAUCAGAAUGCCACGGUGAAUACGUUCCCGGGCCUUGUACACACCGCCCGUCACACCAUGGGAGUGGGUUGCAAAAGAAGUAGGUAGCUUAACCUUCGGGAGGGCGCUUACCACUUUGUGAUUCAUGACUGGGGUGAAGUCGUAACAAGGUAACCGUAGGGGAACCUGCGGUUGGAUCACCUCCUUA